GGCCUUAUGGUCUAGUAGUAUGAUUCCUCGUUUGGGUCGAGGAGGUCCUGGGUUCAACUCCCAGUGAGGCCC
RNAcentral lists this transfer RNA (72 nucleotides) under Pleurotus ostreatus PC15. Its description in RNAcentral is "tRNA-Pro (TGG) (tRNA-Pro-TGG-1 1 to 3)". It matches the Rfam family "tRNA". From Rfam's summary of the family: Transfer RNA (tRNA) molecules are approximately 80 nucleotides in length. Their secondary structure includes four short double-helical elements and three loops (D, anti-codon, and T loops). The record is from RNAcentral. Lineage: Eukaryota; Fungi; Basidiomycota; Agaricomycetes; Agaricales; Pleurotaceae.